GAGGAAUUGACAGCUACAACUACUACUCAGGAAGUAUUACAAAUUAUUAAAUCAUUGCUUAAGGGAAAAAAACGAAACAGGCCCCGCUGGGUACACAGCCGGUUAUUACAAAGUGAUGCCAGCAGAGCUAAACACACAUAUGUGCACCCUCUUUAAUAUCUGUAUGAGAUCAUUGAAGAUACCACAAGAAAUGUUAAAUGCACACCAGGUUAUGCUAACAAAGCCUGGGAAACCACCAACAAAGUGUGC
Molecule: non-coding RNA, 249 nt
Organism: Pelobates cultripes (western spadefoot toad)
Lineage: Eukaryota; Metazoa; Chordata; Amphibia; Anura; Pelobatidae
Source: the annotation of a GenBank genome assembly